Acanthosepion pharaonis is the source of this 113-nucleotide non-coding RNA. The record is from the annotation of a GenBank genome assembly. NCBI's taxonomy places the organism in Eukaryota, Metazoa, Mollusca, Cephalopoda, Sepiida, Sepiidae.
UUACGGCCGUAUCACGUCGAAACACCGGAUCUCGUACGAUCACCGAAAUUAAAGCAACGCCGAGUUUGGUCAGUACAUAAAUGGGUGACCGCUUGGGAAUGCCAGGUGUUAUA